Non-coding RNA from Halorhabdus tiamatea SARL4B, 96 nucleotides. The record is from Rfam. NCBI's taxonomy places the organism in Archaea, Methanobacteriati, Methanobacteriota, Halobacteria, Halobacteriales, Haloarculaceae.
ACUGGGAACACACGACCGCAAAUCUGACGCGUCGCGCAGGUGUCACAGACACUUUCGGCCUCUUUCGCCGUGCGCGACUUGGGAUUGCGGACGUGU